UAGGGAAUCUUCCGCAAUGGGCGAAAGCCUGACGGAGCAACGCCGCGUGAGUGAAGAAGGUCCUCGGAUCUUAAAACUCUGUUAUAAGGGAAGAACAAAUGUGUAAGUAACUAUGCACGUCUUCACGGUACCUAAUCAGAAAGCCACUGCCAACUACGCGCCAGCAGCCGCUGUAAUACGUAGGUCGCAAGCGUUAUUCGGUAUCUAAUGGCAUAAAGCGCGCGUAGGCGGUUUUGUAAGUCUGAUGUGAAAGCACACGGCGCAACCGUGGAGGAUCAUUGUAAACUGGUAAACUUGAGUGCAGAAGGGGAAAGUGGAAUUCCAUGUGUAGCGGUGAAAUGCGCGGAGAUAUGGAGAAACACUGGUGGGGAAGGCGCCUUUCUGGUCUAUUGCUGACGCUAAUGUGCGAAAGCGUGGGGAUCAAACAGG
Molecule: ribosomal RNA, 429 nt
Filed under: Actinomycetes bacterium
Lineage: Bacteria; Bacillati; Actinomycetota; Actinomycetes
Description: Actinobacteria bacterium partial 16S ribosomal RNA
Rfam family: Bacterial small subunit ribosomal RNA
Source: RNAcentral